GAUGAAGAACGUAGCGAAAUGCGAUAAGUAGUGUGAAUUGCAGAAUUCAGUGAAUCAUCGAAUCUUUGAACGCACAUUGCGCCCUUUGGUAUUCCUUAGGGCAUGCCUGUUCGAGCGUCAUUUAAACCUUCAAGCUAAGCUUGGUGUUGGGUGACUGUCCGCUUCACGGCGGACUCGCCUCAAAAUUAUUGGCGGCCGGUACAUUGGCUUCGAGCGCAGCAGAAACGCGAACUCGGGCCCGUCGUAUUGGCUCCCAGAAGCUAUCUUCACAAUUUUGACCUCGGAUCAGGUAGGGAUACCCGCUGAACUUAAGCAUAUCAAUAAGCCGGAGGA
RNAcentral lists this unclassified non-coding RNA (333 nucleotides) under soil metagenome. RNAcentral describes it as "partial contains 5.8S ribosomal RNA, internal transcribed spacer 2, and large subunit ribosomal RNA". The stretch from base 1 to 120 matches the Rfam family "5.8S ribosomal RNA", at positions 35 to 154 of the family's 154-position model. The record is from RNAcentral.